Long non-coding RNA from Eucalyptus grandis, 189 nucleotides. RefSeq lists it as uncharacterized. The record is from RefSeq and is a predicted model, not a curated record. The transcript is spliced from 3 exons. Lineage: Eukaryota; Viridiplantae; Streptophyta; Magnoliopsida; Myrtales; Myrtaceae.
GGUAUAAUAGCAGAGCAAAUCAUUGAAAAAAUUCGGGUUGUGAGAGAGUCAAAAAAAUUUAAAGCUGCUAUCAUCCGAAUCGACAGCCCUGGUGGUGAUGCUCUAGCCUCAGACUUAAUGUGGAGGGAGAUUAGGCAAUUGGCUGCAUCAAAGCCUGUUAUUGCAUCAACGGUUGAUGUAGCAGCUAGU